GGGGGAAUAUUGCACAAUGGGCGGAAGCCUGAUGCAGCGACGCCGCGUGAGGGAUGACGGCCUUCGGGUUGUAAACCUCUCUCAGUAGGGACGAAGCGUAAGUGACGGUACCUGCAGAAGAAGCACCGGCUAACUACGUGCCAGCAGCCGCGGUAAUACGUAGGGUGCGAGCGUUGUCCGGAAUUACUGGGCGUAAAGAGCUCGUAGGCGGUUUGUCACGUCGUCUGUGAAAUCCUAGGGCUUAACCCUGGACGUGCAGGCGAUACGGGCUGACUUGAGUACUACAGGGGAGACUGGAAUUUCUGGUGUAGCGGUGGAAUGCACAGAUAUCAGGAAGAACACCGAUGGCGAAGGCAGGUCUCUGGGUAGUAACUGACGCUGAGGAGCGAAAGCAUGGGUAGCGAACAGG
This 409-nucleotide ribosomal RNA is filed under the name Verrucomicrobiota bacterium. RNAcentral's name for it is "Verrucomicrobia bacterium partial 16S ribosomal RNA". It matches the Rfam family "Bacterial small subunit ribosomal RNA", at positions 355 to 776 of the family's 1533-position model. The record is from RNAcentral. Lineage: Bacteria; Pseudomonadati; Verrucomicrobiota.